AGAAUCAACGCUGGCGGCGUGCCUAACACAUGCAAGUCGAACGAGAAAGUGGUAGCAAUACCAUGAGUAAAGUGGCGCACGGGUGAGUAACACGUGACUAACCUACCCUGGAGUGGGGGAUAACUGAGGGAAACCUUAGCUAAUACCGCAUAACACCUACGGGUCAAAGGAGCAAUUCGCUUCAGGAGGGGUCGCGGCAGAUUAGCUAGUUGGCGGGGUAAUGGCCCACCAAGGCAGUGAUCUGUA
Molecule: ribosomal RNA, 246 nt
Filed under: uncultured bacterium
Lineage: Bacteria
Description: partial small subunit ribosomal RNA
Rfam family: Bacterial small subunit ribosomal RNA
Source: RNAcentral